UCCUACGGGAGGCAGCAGUGGGGAAUCUUGCACAAUGGGGGAAACCCUGAUGCAGCGACGCCGCGUGAGCGAUGAAGCCCUUCGGGGUGUAAAGCUCUUUCGGCAGGGACGAUGAUGACGGUACCUGCAGAAGCAGCUGCGGCUAACUACGUGCCAGCAGCCGCGGUAAUACGUAGGCAGCAAGCGUUGUUCGGAGUUACUGGGCGUAAAGGGUGCGUAGGCGGUCCCUUAAGUUUGGUGUGAAAUCUCCCGGCUCAACUGGGAGGGUGCGCCGGAUACUGAGGGACUAGAGUGCGGGAGGGGAGAGUAGAAUUCCUGGUGUAGCGGUGAAAUGCGUAGAUAUCAGGAGGAAUACCGGUGGUGUAAACGGCUCUCUGGACCGUAACUGACGCUGAGGCACGAAAGCGUGGGUAGCAAACAGGAUUAGAUACCCCAGUAGUCG
This 442-nucleotide ribosomal RNA is filed under the name uncultured bacterium. Its description in RNAcentral is "bacterial SSU rRNA". It matches the Rfam family "Bacterial small subunit ribosomal RNA", at positions 337 to 796 of the family's 1533-position model. The record is from RNAcentral.